Molecule: ribosomal RNA, 291 nt
Filed under: Enterococcus lactis
Lineage: Bacteria; Bacillati; Bacillota; Bacilli; Lactobacillales; Enterococcaceae
Description: partial 23S ribosomal RNA
Rfam family: Bacterial large subunit ribosomal RNA
Source: RNAcentral
GGUUAAGUGAAUAAGGGCGCACGGUGGAUGCCUUGGCACUAGGAGCCGAUGAAGGACGGGACUAACACCGAUAUGCUUUGGGGAGCUGUACGUAAGCUAUGAUCCAGAGAUUUCCGAAUGGGGGAACCCAGCAUCUUUAAUAGGAUGUUACGAUUGUGUGAAUACAUAGCACAUUCGAGGUAGACGCAGAGAACUGAAACAUCUAAGUACCUGCAGGAAGAGAAAGAAAAUUCGAUUCCCUGAGUAGCGGCGAGCGAAACGGGAAAAGCCCAAACCAACAAGCUUGCUUGU